GCAGUCGGCCGGUCUGUCGCCCGUCAUUUCGGCAUUCGAAUGCCGGACGGGAGGAAAGUCCGGGCAACACAGAGCGCCAUGCUUCCUAACGGGAAGCUGUCCGCAAGGGCAGAGCAGUGUAACAGAAAAUAACCGCCGCGCACCGACACGGGCGCCGUGGCAAGGGUGAAAAGGCGAGGUAAAAGCUCACCGUUCCCGUGGCAACGCGGGAAGCCGUACACCUGAUGGGUUGCAAGGUCAUGUAUACCGGCAGUAAAGGGUUGCUCGCCCGGUGCCGGGGGGUAGACCGCACGAGCCGGCCGGCGACGGCAGGCCCAGAUGAAUGACAGACGCAUCUUCCCGUCCGCAGCGACGGAGGAUGCACAGAACCCGGCUUACAGGCCGGCUGCAUUU
RNAcentral lists this RNase P RNA (393 nucleotides) under Tannerella sp. Its description in RNAcentral is "RNase P RNA component class A". It matches the Rfam family "Bacterial RNase P class A". From Rfam's summary of the family: Ribonuclease P (RNase P) is a ubiquitous endoribonuclease, found in archaea, bacteria and eukarya as well as chloroplasts and mitochondria. Its best characterised activity is the generation of mature 5'-ends of tRNAs by cleaving the 5'-leader elements of precursor-tRNAs. Lineage: Bacteria; Pseudomonadati; Bacteroidota; Bacteroidia; Bacteroidales; Tannerellaceae. The record is from RNAcentral.